GACGAACGCUGGCGGCGUGCUUAACACAUGCAAGUCGAACGGAAAGGCCCUGCUUUUGUGGGGUGCUCGAGUGGCGAACGGGUGAGUAACACGUGAGUAACCUGCCCUUGACUUUGGGAUAACUUCAGGAAACUGGGGCUAAUACCGGAUAGGAGCUCCUGCUGCAUGGUGGGGGUUGGAAAGUUUCGGCGGUUGGGGAUGGACUCGCGGCUUAUCAGCUUGUUGGUGGGGUAGUGGCUUACCAAGGCUUUGACGGGUAGCCGGCCUGAGAGGGUGACCGGCCACAUUGGGACUGAGAUACGGCCCAGACGCCUACGGGAGGCAGCAGUGGGGAAUAUUGCACAAUGGGCGGAAGCCUGAUGCAGCAACGCCGCGUGCGGGAUGACGGCCUUCGGGUUGUAAACCGCUUUAGCCUGUGACGAAGCGUGAGUGACGGUAAUGGGUAAAGAAGCACCGGCUAACUACGUG
RNAcentral lists this ribosomal RNA (468 nucleotides) under uncultured bacterium. RNAcentral's name for it is "partial 16S ribosomal RNA". It matches the Rfam family "Bacterial small subunit ribosomal RNA", at positions 28 to 507 of the family's 1533-position model. The record is from RNAcentral.